This 24-nucleotide non-coding RNA is filed under the name Arabidopsis thaliana (thale cress). The record is from RNAcentral. Lineage: Eukaryota; Viridiplantae; Streptophyta; Magnoliopsida; Brassicales; Brassicaceae.
AUGAAGCUGGUCCAAUGAAGAUGC